AGGCUCAUGGUUCGCGUACGAUCGCCGAAAUUAAGCAACGUCGAGCCUGGUCAGUACCUGGAUGAGUGACCGCUUGGGAAUACCAGGUGUUGUAAG
This is a non-coding RNA of Acanthosepion pharaonis, 96 nucleotides long. The record is from the annotation of a GenBank genome assembly. NCBI's taxonomy places the organism in Eukaryota, Metazoa, Mollusca, Cephalopoda, Sepiida, Sepiidae.